GACGGAGGGCGCAAGCGUUGUUCGGAAUUACUGGGCGUAAAGGGCUCGCAGGCGGCCAACUAAGUCAGACGUGAAAUCCCUCGGCUUAACCGGGGAACUGCAUCUGAUACUGGAUGGCUUGAGUUCGGGAGAGGGAUGCGGAAUUCCUGGUGUAGCAGUGAAAUGCGUAGAUAUCAGGAGGAAUACCGAUGGCGAAGGCAGGUCUCUGGGCUAUAACUGACGCUCAUGCACGAAAGCGUGGGGAGCAAACAGG
This 253-nucleotide ribosomal RNA is filed under the name uncultured bacterium. RNAcentral's name for it is "partial 16S ribosomal RNA". It matches the Rfam family "Bacterial small subunit ribosomal RNA", at positions 524 to 776 of the family's 1533-position model. The record is from RNAcentral.